RNAcentral lists this ribosomal RNA (700 nucleotides) under Dinophysis infundibulum. RNAcentral describes it as "LSU rRNA". It matches the Rfam family "Eukaryotic large subunit ribosomal RNA", at positions 37 to 652 of the family's 3401-position model. Lineage: Eukaryota; Dinophyceae; Dinophysales; Dinophysaceae. The record is from RNAcentral.
AGCAUAUAGUAAGCGGAGGACAAAAUAAACUAAACAGGAUCCCCAUAGUAAUGGCGAAUGAACAGGGAUGAGCUCAGCAUGGAAAUUGGGGCCUGUGGCUUUGACUUGUAAUCUUUUGAGGCAUUGCCAACAGAGGCGCAGAUGUAAGUCUCUUGGAAAAGAGCACCAGUGAAGGUGAGAGCCCUGCUUGCCAUUUGCAGCCCCCCUGUGCACGGUGUGCCUGCUAAGAGUCACGUUCCUUGGGAUUGGAGCGCAAAGUGGGUGGUAACUUUCAUCUGAAGCUAAACAAUGGUUCGGGACCGAUAGGAAACAAGUACCAUGAGGGAAAGGUGAAAAGGACUUUGGAAAGAGAGUUAAAAGUGCCUGAAAUUGCUGAAGGGGAAGCGAAUGGAACCAGUGGCGCUGGGUGAGAUUGUCGCAUGCCGCAGGGAUUGGUUGCUGCUUUGGCGUAAGUGAUCUGGCAAUGUUUGAACUGUGGUUGUGUGGUGUGUCUUGCCUUGUGUGUCAUUGUGGGCUUGUGCGUUAAGACAAUUCAAAUUGCAUGGUAGUAUGUUUCCGAACAUAUGAAUGUAGCUUGUUAUGUUAAUGCAUUGGCUCUUUGCUGUCUGUCUGGCCGUGCCGGUUGUCCUCAACUGCGGUUUUGGCAAUGCUGGCAUUUCGUUCUGCACAGAAUAUGACUAAAUGGUUCUAUUUGACCGCU